CUACGGGAGGCUGCAGGCGCGUAACCUUUACAAUGCACGAAAGUGUGAUAAGGGGAUCCCAAGUGCUUAACAUUGUUAGGCUUUUGCCAAGUGUAAAUAGCUUGGCGAAUAAGGGGUGGGUAAGACUGGUGCCAGCCGCCGCGGUAACACCAGCGCCCCAAGUGGCAAUCACGUUUAUUGGGCCUAAAGCGUUCGUAGCAGGUUUUGACAAUCUCUUGUGAAAUCGGCAAGCUUAACUUGUCGGCGUGCAGGAGACACUGCAAGACUCGAGACCGGGAGAAGUUAGGAGUAUUUCUGGGGUAACGGUAAAAUGUGUUAAUCCCAGGAGGACUACCAAUGGCGAAGGCACCUAACCAGAACGGAUCUGACUGUGAGGAACGAGAGCUAGGGGAGCAAAACGGAUUAGAUACCCCCGUAGUC
Molecule: ribosomal RNA, 420 nt
Filed under: uncultured archaeon
Lineage: Archaea
Description: partial 16S ribosomal RNA
Rfam family: Archaeal small subunit ribosomal RNA
Source: RNAcentral